UACGUAGGGGGCAAGCGUUGUCCGGAUUUAUUGGGCGUAAAGAGCGUGUAGGCGGCCAUGUAGGUCCGUUGUGAAAACUCGAGGCUCAACCUCGAGACGCCGAUGGAAACCAUGUGGCUAGAGUCCGGAAGAGGAGAGUGGAAUUCCUGGUGUAGCGGUGAAAUGCGCAGAUAUCAGGAGGAACACCAAUAGCGAAGGCAGCUUGCUGGGACGACACUGACGCUAAGGCGCGAAAGCGUGGGGAGCGAACAGG
Molecule: ribosomal RNA, 253 nt
Filed under: uncultured bacterium
Lineage: Bacteria
Description: partial 16S ribosomal RNA
Rfam family: Bacterial small subunit ribosomal RNA
Source: RNAcentral